GUAAGCGUGCGCAGGCGGCUUGCAAGACAGAUGUGAAAUCCCCGGGCUCAACCUGGGAACUGCAUUUGUGACUGCAAGGCUAGAGUACGGUAGAGGGGGAUGGAAUUCCGCGUGUAGCAGUGAAAUGCGUAGAUAUGCGGAGGAACACCAAUGGCGAAGGCAAUCCCCUGGACCUGUACUGACGCUCAUGCACGAAAGCGUGGGGAGCAAACAGGAUUAGAUACCCUAGU
Molecule: ribosomal RNA, 230 nt
Filed under: uncultured bacterium
Lineage: Bacteria
Description: partial 16S ribosomal RNA
Rfam family: Bacterial small subunit ribosomal RNA
Source: RNAcentral